Manis pentadactyla (Chinese pangolin) is the source of this 788-nucleotide long non-coding RNA. RefSeq lists it as uncharacterized. NCBI's taxonomy places the organism in Eukaryota, Metazoa, Chordata, Mammalia, Pholidota, Manidae. The record is from RefSeq and is a predicted model, not a curated record. The transcript is spliced from 5 exons.
AGGGACCCCACCCGCCGUGGGCUGUGGGGUUCCCGGUGCUGCGCAGGCUGGAAGCGAAGCCGGCGGGUCAGGUUCCCGGGAGCAGAUGUGCGUUUGUUCUCUGGGAAAGAUUCAAUGAUGUAAAAGAAAGUGCCUGUCUCCAAGGAGUAUGAACAUGAAGUCUAACUGGGCCGGUGAAAGUGCAGAAAAGAACUCUGGAUGCUGGAUCUCAUCCACACAACUGGACAGAGGAGCAACUUGACUUACACCUGACAUUUUGUGUCCUCCCCAUGUGCUGGAGAGAAAAAAUUCAAUGGAGGAGAAGAAGGACACAGGAGCAGGGAGAGCUGCAGAAAUGGAGGCACAGAGAGGUAAAUGAAAUUGACUAAGGUCACAUGACUGGAACCUGGGGCAGAAGGACAUAAGCCAGUGUAUCUGCCUGUUGAGCCUACAGUUAAAAAUAAUUAUAGAGAACACGGUGAUGUUUCAUAAACUGUCAGGUGGUACAUUUUCAAAUCAUAUUUUUUUUACAUUAUUCACUUCUAGUCUGGAGGAAAUACCUAUGGGUAAAAUGGAGAGAAGAGUGAGAAAAGAAAAGCCAAACCUUGUUCACUCGUUUCUUCCAUGGAACUGAAACAUACCUGACCAUUAUUAUAUGAAAGUAGAUGCAGAUGAAAUUUCGAUAUAUAUAGAUUAACCAAAACUCUUUAUUGGCGAUACUUACACUUCUCCAGAAGGUGUUUGGUGUGUACAGUGAGAUUAAUAAACCCGUUUAGUCUUUAGUGUGGCCAUAAAAUAAGAGACAGCAG